AAACAUAACCUUUAGAUACAAACAAAUAUUAAAGGCAACGCCUGCCCAGUGAACAAUUAAACGGCCGCGGUACCCUAACCGUGCAAAGGUAGCAUAAUCAUUUGUCUAUUAAUUGUAGACCCGUAUGAAAGGCAAAAUGAAGGCCUAACUGUCUCUUAUAAUAAAUCAAUUAAACUGAUCCCCUAGUAAAAAAGCUAGAAUACACACAUAAGACCAGAAGACCCUGUGAAACUUUAACUAAACUAUUACACCAUAUAAUAGCUACUUUCGGUUGGGGCGACCUUGGAAUAAAAAAGAACUUCCAAACACAUGACCAUAACCCAUACCAACAGGCCCACAAGCCAUCUAAACGACCCAGCAUUAGCUGACCACUGAACCAAGCUACUCCAGGGAUAACAGCGCUAUCUUCUUCAAGAGCCCAUAUCAAAAAGAAGGUUUACGACCUCGAUGUUGGAUCAGGACAUCCUAAUGGUGCAGCCACUAUUAAGGGUUCGUUUGUUCAACGAUUAACAGUCCUACGUGA
RNAcentral lists this ribosomal RNA (523 nucleotides) under Synophis lasallei (Lasalle's fishing snake). Its description in RNAcentral is "partial 16S ribosomal RNA". It matches the Rfam family "Bacterial large subunit ribosomal RNA", at positions 1811 to 2603 of the family's 2925-position model. The record is from RNAcentral. Lineage: Eukaryota; Metazoa; Chordata; Lepidosauria; Squamata; Dipsadidae.